RNAcentral lists this ribosomal RNA (804 nucleotides) under Triticum aestivum (bread wheat). RNAcentral describes it as "partial small subunit ribosomal RNA". Lineage: Eukaryota; Viridiplantae; Streptophyta; Magnoliopsida; Poales; Poaceae. The record is from RNAcentral.
CUGUGGCGGACUCAGAUCACGCCACAGCUGCGGGGCGCCGGCGUUUACCACUAUGUCGAUGGCACGUCGACCGAGCCGGCCAAAACCCACGUCACCAAAGAUGCCGCUGGGAAAGAAACCAAGGGGCCGAAUCCUCUCCAUCCGCUCUGGGUGAAGGAGGAUCAUCAGGUCCUUGGAUAUCUACUCCAACACCUAUCCAAGGAGGUGCUCGUCACGGUGACCGCGAUCACCACGACGCGCGAACUCUGGGUGGCGCUGGCGAGCAUGUUCUCGUCACAGUCACUCAGCCACGUCAACAACAUUCGCACGUCGCUGAUCAACGCGGAGAAGGGCAACCAAUCGGUGUCCUCCUUCUUCGCCGCCAUGAGGGGGCUCACUGAUGAACUCGCCGCGGCGGGAAAACCAAUCCAAGACGACGAGCUCAUAUCCUACAUCCUCCACGGGCUGGACCAAGACUAUCAGCCCCUCGUCUCCGCCUUGGACGCUCGCGUCACUCCGGUAACCCUUGAUGAGCUCUUCACUAUGCUUAGCAAUUUUAAUCAGCGUAUGGCGCAGUUUCACGGCUCCGGUGGCAGCUUCAAGUCCUCGGCCAACUCUGUCUCCAGAGGCCGCGGUGGCGGCUCUCGCUCUCGUUCCUCCCCUCGUGGCAAGGGAAGGUCCGGUGGCGGCGGCUACUCCAACAACACUCGCGGCGGCGGACGCUCUGGCAGCUCAAAAGGGCACCACAGUGGCGGCUCCAACAGAUCGCGUCCGGACUUCCCUCGCUGCCAAAUUUGUGGCAAGCCCGGCCACACGGCGAGGGAC